This 254-nucleotide ribosomal RNA is filed under the name uncultured bacterium. RNAcentral's name for it is "partial 16S ribosomal RNA". It matches the Rfam family "Bacterial small subunit ribosomal RNA", at positions 524 to 776 of the family's 1533-position model. The record is from RNAcentral.
UACGGGGGGAGCAAGCGUUGUUCGGAUUUACUGGGCGUAAAGGGCGCGUAGGCGGCCAGCGCAAGUCAGUUGUGAAAUCUCCGAGCUUAACUCGGAAAGGUCAACUGAUACUGCGCGGCUAGAGUGCAGAAGGGGCAACUGGAAUUCUCGGUGUAGCGGUGAAAUGCGUAGAUAUCUGGAGGAACACCGGUGGCGAAGGCGGCAUCCUGGACCAACACUGACACUGAGGAGCGAAAGCCAGGGGAGCAAACGGG